UACGUAGGGUGCGAGCGUUGUCCGGAAUUAUUGGGCGUAAAGAGCUCGUAGGCGGUGUGUCACGUCGGCCGUGAAAACCUGGGGCUUAACUCUGGGCGUGCGGUCGAUACGGGCAUCACUAGAGUUCGGCAGGGGAGACUGGAAUUCCUGGUGUAGCGGUGAAAUGCGCAGAUAUCUGGAAGAACACCGGUGGCGCAAGCGGAUUGCUGGGCCAUAACUGACACUGAGGAACGAAAGCUAGGGGAGCGAAUGGG
RNAcentral lists this ribosomal RNA (254 nucleotides) under uncultured bacterium. Its description in RNAcentral is "partial 16S ribosomal RNA". It matches the Rfam family "Bacterial small subunit ribosomal RNA", at positions 524 to 776 of the family's 1533-position model. The record is from RNAcentral.